GAUGAACGCUGGCGGCGUGCCUAAUACAUGCAAGUCGAGCGAACAGACGAGGAGCUUGCUCCUCUGACGUUAGCGGCGGACGGGUGAGUAACACGUGGAUAACCUACCUAUAAGACUGGGAUAACUUCGGGAAACCGGAGCUAAUACCGGAUAAUAUAUUGAACCGCAUGGUUCAAUAGUGAAAGACGGUUUUGCUGUCACUUAUAGAUGGAUCCGCGCCGCAUUAGCUAGUUGGUAAGGUAACGGCUUACCAAGGCAACGAUGCGUAGCCGACCUGAGAGGGUGAGCGGACAAACUGGAACUGAGACACGGUCCAGACGACUACGGGAGGCAGCAGUAGGGAAUCUGCCGCAAUGGGCGAAAGCCUGACGGAGCAACGCCGCGUGAGUGAUGAAGGUCUUAGGAUCGUAAAACUCUGUUAUUAGGGAAGAACAAAUGUGUAAGUAACUAUGCACGUCUUGACGGUACCUAAUAAGAAAGCCACGGCUAACUACGUG
This 497-nucleotide ribosomal RNA is filed under the name uncultured bacterium. RNAcentral's name for it is "partial 16S ribosomal RNA". It matches the Rfam family "Bacterial small subunit ribosomal RNA", at positions 28 to 507 of the family's 1533-position model. The record is from RNAcentral.